Molecule: ribosomal RNA, 25 nt
Filed under: Pseudophialophora angusta
Lineage: Eukaryota; Fungi; Ascomycota; Sordariomycetes; Magnaporthales; Magnaporthaceae
Description: partial 28S ribosomal RNA
Source: RNAcentral
GUGACCUCGGAUCAAGGGUAAGGAU